GAGGGCCUGCUCAGUGAGUUUACAUGUUAGAGGGAGUGGGGUAUAGUGACACAGUAACAGGGUCCUGCUCAUUGAGUUUACAUGUUAGGGGGAGUGGGGUAUAGUGACACAGUAACAGAGGGCCUUCUCAGUGAGUUCACAUGUUAGAGGGAGUGGGGUAUAGUGACACAGUAACAGAGGGAUUGAGGGCCUGCUCAGUGAGUUUACAUGUUAGAGGGAGUGGGGUAUAGUGACACAGUAACAGAGGGAUUGAGGGCCUGCUCAGUGAGUUUACAUGCUAGCGGGAGUGGGGUAUAGUGACACAGUAACAGAGGGAUUGAGGCCCUGCUCAGUGAGUUUACAUGUUAGAGGGAGUGGGGUAUAGGGACAAAGUAACAGAGGGAUUGAGGGCCUGCUCAG
This is a non-coding RNA of Pelobates cultripes (western spadefoot toad), 399 nucleotides long. Lineage: Eukaryota; Metazoa; Chordata; Amphibia; Anura; Pelobatidae. The record is from the annotation of a GenBank genome assembly.